This 253-nucleotide ribosomal RNA is filed under the name uncultured Enterobacteriaceae bacterium. Its description in RNAcentral is "partial 16S ribosomal RNA". It matches the Rfam family "Bacterial small subunit ribosomal RNA", at positions 1131 to 1382 of the family's 1533-position model. Lineage: Bacteria; Pseudomonadati; Pseudomonadota; Gammaproteobacteria; Enterobacterales; Enterobacteriaceae. The record is from RNAcentral.
CCGGGAACUCAAAGGAGACUGCCAGUGAUAAACUGGAGGAAGUGGGAUGACGUCAAGUCAUCAUGGCCCUUACGACCAGGGCUACACACGUGCUACAAUGGCGCAUACAAAGAGAAGCGACCUCGCGAGAGCAAGCGGACCUCAUAAAGUGCGUCGUAGUCCGGAUUGGAGUCUGCAACUCGACUCCAUGAAGUCGGAAUCGCUAGUAACCGCAGGUCAGCAAUACUGCGGUGAAUACCGGUUCCCGGGUCCU